GAUGAAGAACGUAGCGAAAUGCGAUAAGUAAUGUGAAUUGCAGAAUUCAGUGAAUCAUCGAAUCUUUGAACGCACAUUGCGCCCGCCAGUAUUCUGGCGGGCAUGCCUGUUCGAGCGUCAUUUCCACCAUCAGGCCCCCGGGCCUGUGUUGGGGACCUGCGGCUGCCCGCAGGCCCCGAAAUUCAGUGGCGGUCGCGCCGUAGCAACCGAGCGUAGUAACUAAAACGUCUCGCUCUGGCUCGCUGGGCGCGCUCCGGCCGUAAAACACCCCCCCUUUUCGCAAAGGUUGACCUCGGAUCAGGUAGGAAUACCCGCUGAACUUAAGCAUAUCAAAAGCGGAGGA
This 343-nucleotide unclassified non-coding RNA is filed under the name soil metagenome. RNAcentral describes it as "partial contains 5.8S ribosomal RNA, internal transcribed spacer 2, and large subunit ribosomal RNA". The stretch from base 1 to 120 matches the Rfam family "5.8S ribosomal RNA", at positions 35 to 154 of the family's 154-position model. The record is from RNAcentral.